CGGUGGAGCACGUGGUUUAAUUCGAUGCAAACCGAAGAACCUUACCUGGGUUUGACAUGUACGUGGUACGGAUCUGAAAGGUGAAGGACCCGGGUCUUCGGACUGGGAGCGUACACAGGUGCUGCAUGGCUGUCGUCAGCUCGUGUCGUGAGAUGUUGGGUUAAGUCCCGUAACGAGCGCAACCCUUGUCCUUAGUUACCAGCACGUUAUGGUGGGCACUCUAAGGAGACUGCCGGUGACAAACCGGAGGAAGGUGGGAAUGACGUCAAGUCAUCAUGGCCCUUACGGCCUGGGCUACACACGUGCUACAAUGGUCGGUACAAAGGGUUGCCAAGCCGCGAGGUGGAGCUAAUCCCAUAAAACCGAUCGUAGUCCGGAUCGCAGUCUGCAACUCGACUGCGUGAAGUCGGAAUCGCUAGUAAUCGUGAAUCAGAAUGUCACGGUGAAUACGUUCCCGGGCCUU
Molecule: ribosomal RNA, 463 nt
Filed under: uncultured Pseudomonas sp.
Lineage: Bacteria; Pseudomonadati; Pseudomonadota; Gammaproteobacteria; Pseudomonadales; Pseudomonadaceae
Description: bacterial SSU rRNA
Rfam family: Bacterial small subunit ribosomal RNA
Source: RNAcentral